UCAGAUUGAACGCUGGCGGCAGGCCUAACACAUGCAAGUCGAGCGGUAGAGAGAAGCUUGCUUCUCUUGAGAGCGGCGGACGGGUGAGUAAUGCCUAGGAAUCUGCCUGGUAGUGGGGGAUAACGUUCGGAAACGGACGCUAAUACCGCAUACGUCCUACGGGAGAAAGCAGGGGACCUUCGGGCCUUGCGCUAUCAGAUGAGCCUAGGUCGGAUUAGCUAGUUGGUGAGGUAAUGGCUCACCAAGGCGACGAUCCGUAACUGGUCUGAGAGGAUGAUCAGUCACACUGGAACUGAGACACGGUCCAGACUCCUACGGGAGGCAGCAUUGGGGAAUAUUGGAACAAUGGGCUGAAAGCCUGAAUCCAGCCAUGCCGCUGUGUGUGAAAAAAGGUCUUCGCGAUUGUAAAUCACUUUGAACU
RNAcentral lists this ribosomal RNA (421 nucleotides) under uncultured Pseudomonas sp. Its description in RNAcentral is "bacterial SSU rRNA". It matches the Rfam family "Bacterial small subunit ribosomal RNA", at positions 24 to 441 of the family's 1533-position model. The record is from RNAcentral. Lineage: Bacteria; Pseudomonadati; Pseudomonadota; Gammaproteobacteria; Pseudomonadales; Pseudomonadaceae.